This 477-nucleotide ribosomal RNA is filed under the name uncultured organism. RNAcentral describes it as "partial 16S ribosomal RNA". It matches the Rfam family "Bacterial small subunit ribosomal RNA", at positions 330 to 798 of the family's 1533-position model. The record is from RNAcentral.
CGUACACUCCUGCGGGAGGCAGCAGUGGGGAAUAUUGCACAAUGGGCGCAAGCCUGAUGCAGCCAUGCCGCGUGUAUGAAGAAGGCCUUCGGGUUGUAAAGUACUUUCAGCGGGGAGGAAGGCGAUAAGGUUAAUAACCUUGUCGAUUGACGUUACCCGCAGAAGAAGCACCGGCUAACUCCGUGCCAGCAGCCGCGGUAAUACGGAGGGUGCAAGCGUUAAUCGGAAUUACUGGGCGUAAAGCGCACGCAGGCGGUCUGUCAAGUCGGAUGUGAAAUCCCCAGGCUCAACCUGGGAACUGCAUUCGAAACUGGCAGGCUAGAGUCUUGUAGAGGGGGGUAGAAUUCCAGGUGUAGCGGUGAAAUGCGUAGAGAUCUGGAGGAAUACCGGUGGCGAAGGCGGCCCCCUGGACAAAGACUGACGCUCAGGUGCGAAAGCGUGGGGAGCAAACAGGAUUAGAAACCCCGGUAGUCCCAU